GGAAUAUUGGACAAUGCCCGCAAGGGUGAUCCAGCCAUGCCGCGUGCAGGAAGAAGGCCCUAUGGGUCGUAAACUGCUUUUACACCGGAGAAAACCCCCCUACGUGUAGGGGGCUGAUAGUAUGGUGAGAAUAAGCAUCGGCUAACUUCGUGCCAGCAGCCGCGGUAAGACGAAGGAUGCAAGCGUUAUCCGGAUUCAUUGGGUUUAAAGGGAGCGUAGGUGGACUGAUAAGUCAGUGGUGAAAUCUCUUCGCUUAACGAAGAAAUUGCCAUUGAUACUGUUGGUCUUGAGUACAGUUGCUGUGGGCGGAAUAUGACAUGUAGUGGUGAAAUACAUAGAGAUGUCAUAGAACACCGAUUGCGAAGGCAGCUCACAAAGCUGUAACUGACACUGAGGCUCGAAAGUGUCGGGGAUCAAACAGAUUAGAUACCCUGGUAGUCCGCACCGUAAACGAUGAUUACUCGCUGCUAGAGGGCAACUUUUAGUGGCUUAGCGAAAGCGAUAAGUAAUCCACCUGGGGAGUACGCCGGCAACGGUGAAACUCAAAUGAAUUGACGG
This 558-nucleotide ribosomal RNA is filed under the name uncultured bacterium. RNAcentral's name for it is "bacterial SSU rRNA". It matches the Rfam family "Bacterial small subunit ribosomal RNA", at positions 358 to 916 of the family's 1533-position model. The record is from RNAcentral.